This 1339-nucleotide long non-coding RNA is filed under the name Homo sapiens (human). RNAcentral describes it as "HSALNT0328922". Lineage: Eukaryota; Metazoa; Chordata; Mammalia; Primates; Hominidae. The record is from RNAcentral.
AGUAUACAAUUUAUUUCUCCAUGGGCAACAAGACAUGCCAGCAACUGCACGGCUACUUCUCCAUUUAGCCACUAUCCCAGAGAAUUCUGCCACCUUCCAGAGCCAACUGUUUUCCCCUUUCUCUGCGUUUGAUAGAAAAGAAAGAUAAGAAAUAAAUAGGGCUUAAUUUCCCAAACCAUUUAUGUAGUUUUUCCUCCUUUUCAGGACAGAGAAUAAAGGGUCCCUGUAUUCAUGCCUUCCUGGAAAUCUCAGUGCAAGGCCCUAUCAGGAGGUUUCCUGGAGCAGCUAAGGGAACAGCUAGACCACCCAGGAAGAAAUGACAGAAGCCUACCUGACUUCCAAUCUGCUUGCUUCAUGGUGUAAUGGGGGCCUAGACAGAAGCACCCCAAGGACACUUACAACAACUGUUCUGCCAGCUCUAGUCCAUUGGAGAAGAUGUGCCAACAUACCUUCUCACCAUCCCUAGAGCCCAACCUUGCUAUGGAAAGGUCAAACCCUUACCAUUGGCCCUGCCAAGGAUCCCCAGACAGAGAAGCACAAUGGAGGCCAUAAAUUAUGGCUUCUUAUCAUGGCCUCCACAUAACUUAAACUCUGGAUGGUGAAUGAAAUCUGGGGCCAAGUCUUAAAGGGUCAGGGUAGCCAAUGAGCAUAACUCAAUAUUUGUGUUUCUAAGAGAAAACCACAGAACCUCCAUAUCCAUGGCAAACUGGCCAGCCACAGGCUGGAUCCAGUGUGCAGUAGUGUUUUGUGUACACCAUUCACUAUUUGUCUACUUGGGUUAAAAAUGUUUUAUAUUAGUUAGCAAUGUUUAAACAUUGGGAGAAUUAAAGGGAAAUGAAAACGUACUUCCCACAAAUACUUGCACAUAAAUAUUCACAGCAGCAUUGUUUAUAAUUGCCCAAAACUAGAAACAACCCAAAUAUCCAUCAACUGAUGAAUGAUAAACAAGUUGUGGUAUAUUCAUCCAAUAAAACAAUAUUCAGCAAUAAAAAUAAACAAAUCAGGCACUUAAUAUAAUUGAAUAUCAAGGUCAUUAUGUUGAGUGAAAGAGGCCAGAAAAUAAAAGUAUACACUAUUUGAUUCCAUUUAUAUAAUAUUCUAGAAAAUGAAAACCAGUCUAUACUUACAGAAAACAAGGUGGUAGCUUACAGAGAUGGGGUAGAGGGAGGGAGAGAUGACAGAGAGGCAUAAAAAAACUUUCCGGACAAUGAAAAUGUUCUGUAUUUUAAUUGUGGUGAUGGUUUCAUGGAUGUACAAGUUCAUCAAAUCUCAUCAAGUUAAAUAUAUGCAUUUAUUUUAUAUUAAGUGUACCUCAAUAAAGCAGAAAAAUUUAAAAUUG